UUAAAAAGUUCAAUAGAUAAGGAAUAGAGACAAAGGGGCACAAGGUCAUUUUUUAUGCAUAAGUGCACACACUGAGAGUUUGAAUUUUUGGAUAUUACACGGCCCCACACGGUUUUUGGGGGCUUCUUUUUUCUCCAAGCAAUAGUUUCAUUUAAAAUGGACACACAGAGCAAAAAAAAGGACCCCGGGGAUGAAACCUCUUUUUCUCCUUCUUGAACAAAAACCCUAGCUGAACCCAGGUACCUUCAGUUGCCGCCCGUCCAGCAUCCAAGCACCACGACCUCACUUGACAAAAACCAGAAGCCGCCGAUCUGCUUCAACUUCUGCCACCAACAUCUUCAACCCAAAAACUCACCAAAAAACACCCCUUCAACACCAGCCCUGUCAACCCCCACGUGAACCAACCGCCUCUCCCUCCUCACGUCCAAGACACAACCAUCGUCGAACCUCCAGUCAACCCGUCACGUCGUCGACCAGCGACGCGUCCAGUUGACCACUACCUCCCCAUCGUCGUCAAACGGAUAGUCAUCUUUCUUCACCGCCCAGAUCACCAUCGAUCCUCCAGCCCACUUCACGCCUGAACCAGUCGUCAAACAACCAGAACAAACCAGCGGCAUCCUUCAAUUGGAACACCCACGAGCCCCCAUCGCAAACACACGCCGAAAAACAUUCACUCACGAGCAGCCCGUCUCUUUUCUCCCUCAUCUCAAUCGUUUAAGAUUCAGUCACACAAACACGGAAGGACAGAAACAGUGACGUGAACACACAUGUGUUUAUCAUAAAACAAAACAUAAAUUAAAUAAAAAUGUUCUGCUUAUUAACUUUUCAAUUCCGGAAUUUGUUCAAAGAUGGAUUUUGAUUAAAACUUGGGUUUGAAUCCAUGUUUGCUUGAGUUUUUCCGGUGUGGAUUGAUGAUCCCGUGUGAUUGGACGAAAAUGGUUGGUUGAGAUGUUGGAGUUCGAGUCCCAGUGCCGAUUCGAAUUUCCGUCCGUGAUACGUCACAUUCUCAAAUUCAUGGUUGUGGCACAAUCAAAUUUCAGAUUUAACGAGGUCCAUCUCUCCCUUGUUUUGCUGAUUUGCUUAAUAUCACAUUUUCCUUUAGUUCGUUGAUAGUCACUUCUCUGCCUUGUUGACCGUUUGAGUUUUUGAUCUAUUGUUUUGUUCAGAUUGUCUCACUAAUGCUUGCUUACUAUGUUCUGUUCUAUUGAUCAUCAUUUGGGUUGUGACCUUGUUUAAUCUGUUUGGAUGGAAUCUGAUUGUUUGAGUUGUGGGGAUUAUAUUUUAAAACAUGGAGGGAAUUGGGCUUAAAUAAUAUUAUUUUUCUCUUAUUUUUACUCUCAUAAUUUUGAUCGAUAGUAGCAUGCCUUGGCCGACUACACCUAAGUAGCCAAACUUUAGAAUCUUUUUUAAUAUGAGGCGAGAGGUCGUUCCCGUAGUUAAAUUUAUCCAGGGAAUGUCCCAUGAAGUUUGUAUAUACUAUUAUUCGGGGUAUGCCCCGAAGAGAAUAUAAAUGAAGGUCAAAGAAGAAGUAACUCGAGGAAGCAAUAGAAUAGUACUUUAUUUUUGCUUUUAUUUUUCCUUUAUUAGGUGGGGACGACCUCGAGCCUCUUUGAUUUUUUAGUCUCUUUUUGCUUGUUUUUGCCUCAAUUUGAAUA
RNAcentral lists this long non-coding RNA (1655 nucleotides) under Nicotiana benthamiana. RNAcentral describes it as "long non-coding RNA (NBEN_LNC012036)". The record is from RNAcentral. Lineage: Eukaryota; Viridiplantae; Streptophyta; Magnoliopsida; Solanales; Solanaceae.